GCACAAAACGUUGACUCUCGAGUCUAGCUGUUCACUAGAUGUUUCAGGGAAUUAAAGUAUACAUUCCUGUUGCAGGCCAGGAACUCUCCAUGACUUUCAUAGCCAUGAAAUUGCCGAACAACUUACUCUCCUGAAUGCAGAACUUUUCUACAAGAUUGAGAUCCCCGAGGUUUUGCUGUGGGCAAAAGAGCAAAACGAGAAGAGCCCGAAUCUGACACAGUUCACAGAGCACUUUAACAACAUGUCCUACUGGGUCCAAUCUAUCAUCAUGCUUCAGGAGAAGGCACAGGACCGGGAGAGGUUGC
Pseudophryne corroboree (corroboree frog) is the source of this 305-nucleotide long non-coding RNA. RefSeq lists it as uncharacterized. The transcript is spliced from 3 exons. NCBI's taxonomy places the organism in Eukaryota, Metazoa, Chordata, Amphibia, Anura, Myobatrachidae. The record is from RefSeq and is a predicted model, not a curated record.